UCCGAAGCCAGGAGCCAGGUGCCUCCUGGUCUCCCAUGUGAGUGCAGGGCCCAAACACUUGGGCCAUCCUCCACUCCCUUCCCGGAGCCACAGCAGAGAGCUGGACUGGAAGAGGAGCAACCAGGACAGAACUGGUGCCCCAACCGGGACUACAACCUGGAGUGCCGAUGCUGCAGGCGGAGGAUUAGCCUGGUGAGCCUCGGCGCCGGCCAAAAGCACAGCUCUUUAAACAAUCUGUUGGGCCAGAUAAAGAUGAGACAACUGAACAGUGGACCAUUCCUAAAAUCAUCUAAUAAAGAGUUUAAGCUGAAUCUGGACAUCCUAACUGGUCUGAAUGUAAGUUUUGUUCUAUUUUGUUCUAUUUUAGAGCAUUAAAAGAUCAUUAUUUAAAACAGAACAAUAAACAAAGCCUGUAUCUUGGAGGAGGGAGAUUC
This 434-nucleotide long non-coding RNA is filed under the name Oryctolagus cuniculus (rabbit). RNAcentral's name for it is "lncRNA (ENSOCUG00000036636.1)". Lineage: Eukaryota; Metazoa; Chordata; Mammalia; Lagomorpha; Leporidae. The record is from RNAcentral.